Long non-coding RNA from Orbicella faveolata, 1102 nucleotides. The record is from RefSeq and is a predicted model, not a curated record. NCBI's taxonomy places the organism in Eukaryota, Metazoa, Cnidaria, Anthozoa, Scleractinia, Merulinidae.
AAAAACACAGAAAAGGAGGUCAAAAGAACGUGAGUUUGUCAUCUGGUUUCAAUAUUCUGAACAUCUAUAGACCUACGUAUACUGCAGAUUUGCUGCCGGAGUUGUUUUUAAAAUGUUUCUCCAGAACUAACUGGCUAAACACCGAACUUUAUUGUUAUCUAGUUUUUUCUUUUCACAAUAUAUAUAGGUAACCACAACCAUUCAGCCAAUGACGACAAACCACCCGGUAACAACCAGCCAACCGACGAUAACCUCCCAAGACAAGCAGCCUAAAGCUCACAGGAUGGACUCUGCGCCAGGCAUUUACUCCUCAGUUUUAGGACAGAGGGGAUUUUUAAGAAAGUCCACGGCAACCAACACCGAGCCGAGACAAGCCACACCAGGCUCCCAGGUGAUUAUCUCCUCAAGACAGUUUCAUUAUUUUAAUUUCUUCAAAAUAGCCUAGGAUGUGCUAUACAGGUUAUUAAUGAUUUUACGCCGUGUCUGACAUCAAUCUAGACCAGCGUUUUCAAGGAGAUGGAACUAAGUUAUAACUUGCUUUGCGUCGGUCAGAAGGGACUUGAGUUUUACUCGAUGCGCUCUUUUUCAAAUAGUCCAACUUUGGCCAUCUGUGCUUUUCGGUCUUUCACGGUAACGUGAAGUCAUGAAAAGAGCAUUAAAAUUGUGAGAUAUAUUACAUACAUAUGAGCACAAAAAAUUGUAUUACACCAGAUCUAGAUCAUUAUUUAGCCAACUCGGCGCUACGCGUCUCGUUGGGAAUCUAUAUCAUCUCAUAUCCAGCGCACGCUCGUGGAAUAGCCUUUUAGGUCUUCUUAAGCAGUUCAGUUUUUCCUGGCAGGUUGGGCUCUCAGACAAGAUGCCAAGCUAUUUCAAGAUACCUGUUGGUAAAAGAGAAAGGUCAGUUUUAAACCGCAGUGUUAGGAAGGUCAGUUUUAGAACAGUGUUGUGUGUUGUUUCCGUUUUCUUGUUUGUCGAUACCAUAAUAAUGUAAUGGUAGUAGUGUGUAAUAAUGGUUUGGCACGAUCAUGUGUUCAUAACAUCGGACUGAAAGCUACGCUAUUCGUUCGUUAAAAGUCCUUAGAUGUAAACCGUUAGACAAACG